This 8609-nucleotide long non-coding RNA is filed under the name Nicotiana tabacum (common tobacco). RNAcentral's name for it is "long non-coding RNA (NTAB_LNC004230)". The record is from RNAcentral. Lineage: Eukaryota; Viridiplantae; Streptophyta; Magnoliopsida; Solanales; Solanaceae.
CCAUUGCAACAGCCUCUUAAACGAUACAGAUAUUGCAUAAAGCACUGUGGCUCAAGCCUACAUGUUAGUAGGAUAAUACUUAUUGGUCUUCUGUGCUUUCCGUUUUUCUUUUCUUUUUGAGUAAGAAAUGCAGACUAGGGCAACAAUGAACACAAAAUAGCAGCUACCUAGAUUUGAAAUGCUUUCACAAAAAUAUUUGGAUAUAUUAUGCAGCAUUUUACAAUCAUAAUCAUUAUAAGGUAAAAUACCCAUAAUUUAUUUGCUUCAGCUUAGAACACAAGAGGUAGAAAACGUCCAUACCACCUUGUCUCUAUGAACGAAUGGCUCUGUUAGAAGGGGCGUUAUUCCGCGUCCAUUCGAGCAUGUUAAUCUGGGUCCAAGCAGCCAUCUUGAUUGUUCACCUCAGCUCCAACACUUCACAAUGUAUUAUUAUUAUUAUAAAUUUUUAAAAAAACAUAUAGAAAACAAAUUUCCUACAAUUUCGGUUUUUUUUUGGCCUUUAUUUCACAUAACCCAAAAAAUUUCUUAAGUAGGUCAACACAGAUCAAUUAGCAAUUUGCUUUCACCUCUACCUUCUCCCUCAACGUUUCUCCUUUCUCAACUCUCUUGUGGCAUUCCCUUCAUCCUUACCAGAACUCAAGCACAGAUCAUAAGUUAAACGCUCAGCACUAAACAGCAGUGAGUGAAUCAGUGCACUUCAAAAUUUAACAAACAUAACCCAAAAGUUACCAUGGUCUCAAUGAAUAACAUCCUAAAGUGAUUGAUUAUAUAAUAAUCAUGAAUACUUCAGAUGCAAACUCCCGAAUACAACAUCACUGUUUAGACAUGUACGCUAGUCAACAUCCAUAAGCAGUUGCAGAUAAUGAAAGCUCAGAUGUGUAAGAUUAAUAUCCAUAGCACAAAAUCACUGCUUAAAGGUCCCAAAAAGAAAAACCACUAAAGCAGAUUGCUCAAUGUCAAUUGGUCAAUCAACAACAUAGAAGUGCAAAUAUUUGCCAGGUGGAAAAGACGAAAUAUUCUGGAUAUCCUAUUUAUAUAAUAUUUCAAAUUAUUUACAGAAUUACCUUUUUUCUCCAAAAUUUUAACUCCAUUCGAUGACAGAUAUACAUGAAAAUUUUACAUAAGCAGUACUUUCUUGGUCAAACUAUCAACUCUUCUUACUUUAAAGAAGCUACCAGUGUCAUAUGAACUGCAAAUGCUCUUUCACAAAAAUGAUCGCCAUUUUGUGGUGAAAGGACAAAAAGGGAAGCAGUAUCACUGCUACAGUUCAGGGAUCUGACUACACAAUUUACCUCAUAAUUUUGCAGCAGAAAUCUGCCAGGAUCAAUCAAACCUUAUUUGAGUACCGCUGACCAAUAAAGGGCUACAAUGUUGCAUUCUGACUAGCUACCUUCUGUAAAUACCUGAAACAAUUGACAUUUGCUGACAAAAUCACUCUCAAAUUAGAUGAUCUCCAUCAUGUAAACACAAUAAGAGAUAUAUUUCUAGCGUUGCAAAAACACCAAGAGGGAAAAAAGGAAAAUUAGGAACAAGAAUCACACAAGUCAGGAAACCAAUUUAAGAAAAAGAACUUUUAGAUCUUCCUUAGGAAGCAUACACAAGUCACUUGUACAAAGAACAAAUAAAAAUCGCUAUAACUAGUUACUCUAAUAGCAUUCCCUUUAAGGGAGUUUCAUUAAAACGUGCUGCAAUUGCUGAAAUACAAUUGUACAGAAGUAGCGCACAUGACUUCUGUCAACACUUCCUAUCCAAGGGAUUAUCAAACACAUUCCAGUAUAGAAGGCUUAUAAUGUUAUGCCUUGAAAACAGUUCUUUUUGGGUGAUAAACAAUGUUUCUCAAGGAAAUUAUGUAGCCAAGAGAGAGAUCAGUAAAAAAAACUCAAAACCUAUCAAACAUUUCACAUCAAAAGGCUGUUUGAUAGUAUUAUCUCAACAAGCAAUAAAGGAGGAUGGAGAGAUAGAGGUGAUAGAAUCUAUUUCCUAAAUUUUGAACACAUUACACCUCCCAUCCAUGGGCCAAUAUUGAAUAGCUGUUUACAAAUGCAUCAAUCAAUAGACAGGAAUCUUCGGCCCUAGCUAACUACCAGGACUAAGAUACAAUGUGAUCAAACAUAAGAUCUAUAGGCAUUGGACGAUUUCAAUAUGAGCUGCAGUUUGAUAUUCGGAAAAAGGUCAUAUUUGCCACUGUAGUAUUAAAUAUUAGUUAUAUAUACCUUCCGUUAUAACCAAAUACUCAAUCAGAUGUGAAUGAAUGAAAGAGAUUUGUGCCUUUUUAUUGUCUAAGUCUAAUGCAAAAUGGUCUCUAAAAGGUAACAAAAUUAAGCAUUACUUUUCAUUCUUUUCAGUUGUUCUACAUGUUUCAGGCAAGUUCAAGUUACACGUCUAACAGAAGAGAACUAGUUCUCUUAGAAAAAGAGCAAUACUUGUCAAAGUACAAAAUAAGAUGAUAUUAGAUGCCAUCCCUCUCAGGCUAAACUUCAUUCAAUUUUGAGAACAGGGGCAAAGAUUCCAUCAACAACAUGCUUCAAGCAUUCUCCAUUCUAGUUUGGAUUUUCCUCAAACAAGGACCCCAUUAUUGCUAACCCUCCUCUCUAAGAAGCAAAAAACAACUAUAGUCAUCCUUUCUUUCUCUUAAGAGUCUGGUCGUCUUUGGGCCUUUCCGGCAUAUCCAGGAGGGGAAAGGGGUCUCUUGGUUUUUCUUUUUGGGUCUCGUUGAUGGAUUUUUGGUUCCGGGAAGAUGGGUUAUUUCUAAGGGUAUGGGUUGGCUAAUCACCCGGAUUAACAGAUGACCUCCAUGUGUUAUUUUGAAGGUGGAUCCAAGUUUUCCGUUAGUGGGAGCCGGGAGGGGUAUUUGUGUUCAAAAGUGUAAUGACGAGGGUAAUUAACGUCGAGUAUAUAUAACUAAUAUUAAAUAGUACAAGGGUAAAUAUGACCCUUCCCGUUUAACAUUUAUAUAGAACCUAGGCUCUCAAGCUGAAAGCAUGCAACCCCACAAAACACCGUAAUAAUCAUUUUGUAACACUAACACAUCACACAUCAUUUGAUACACAACAUGACACGGACAUACACACUGAGAUAGCCUUUAUUAUGUUACAUCACAAACCCAAAUCUUACAGAGACAAUACGACACACCCUAUGUCAUGAUUUUACCAUGCAAUAUUAACAAAUUUCCACCCCAAUAAUAAAAGCGAGUGAAUCAUUGGGCCUAUCUCACAUAACGAGUCAUACAAGGGCGAAGUUCAUUUUGGGGCAUAGCCCAAAGCAACUUCAAACUCCACAUGAAAAAUAUUUCAAGAGUGUCCAAGUGUUAGGAUGCUGAGAAAAGUACAGCAACGAGAAGUUCUGACAGAUGAAACUAAAUCAGCAAAGUUACUACUAGACCAGCCCAUUAUUCUAUACAUUCCAAGACAUCAUUUUUUAAACUGAGCGAACACGUCAAGAAGUUCAUCGUUUCCUACUAAAGCAAACUUUGUCUCAUGCCCCAAUAAACCCAUGCACAACACAACUUUAAACUAGAGCAGAACAAAAUCUUAAGGCACCUAUGAGAUUAAAAAAGGCUUACGGUGCCUACUGAAACACACAAGUAGGUCUCUUUCAUUAGCCAGGACCUGCAAUUUGUUGCUUGAAGCAACAACUAAUUUCAUGCACUAUGCUGCUCCGCAAACAAUAAUAGAUACUUCUAUACCAAAUUAAGGACUUCUGCACCAAAUCUUACCCAUGAAAAUAAACAUACACAGCAAAAUAUGCAUGCUCAAGAAGCACGUUAAAAUUUUGAUGUGUUUCCAAUAGCUGUGCUGCAUCUGCUUACACAAGUAAGGGCAUGGCUGACAUGCUCCCUCAGUGAUACUAACUUAAACUUUUCCACAGAGCACAUGUAGAUAUUAGAGAAAGUUAACAAGCUCUUUUGCCAACUGAAUAUUGAAUGGUACUUUUCCAUCUAGCUUCACACACAUCUUCCCUUCAUAUACACAUUUGAAUAUAAAUGCUAAAAAGCACAUCUCUUUCAGAGUUCCCACACCAAAAUGUUGUUAUUUCACUUAGAGGUCGUUUGGUUGAAGGGAUUAGGAAAAACAGUCCCGGAAUAAAAUCUCACAUAAAAUAAUACAAUAUUUGGUUGGAUGGAUUAAGAAAAUAAUUUCUGCAUAACUAAUGCAGCGUUUGGUUGGCGUAUAAAAAAAAAUCCCUAUACAACUAAUGCAACGUUUGAGUGGUGGUAAUAAAUAAUACUCCCUCCGUCCCAAAUUACGUGUGACUCUUUCUUCUUUGGUUAGUCCCAAAAGAAUGACACCUCUCUAUAUUUAGUAACAAUUUAACUUUAAAAUCUCCACUUUAUCCAUAAUGAGAUGAUUUAUACCCACACAAAUAUCUAUAGCUCAUUUUAAACCACAAGUUUCAAAAGUCUUCCUUCCUAUCUUAAAACUCGGUGCCCAGUCAAACACCGUCAAAUAAAUUGGGACGAAAGGAGUACACGCAUAAGUUAUUUGAGAAUCUAGGUAUUAUUUUAUGUGGAGUAUAAUGUGAAAUAAAAUUACGUGUAUCAGCAAUGCAGCAAUGCAGAGACAAAAGUAUUGAAAGAAAAAAAUACCUUACCAAAAAAACAAAAAAAAAAAGGUAUUGAAAGACAAAAAUGCUCUUAAAAUAGAUAAUCUUUAAUUAUUCACUGCAUAACAAUCCCGACAAUAUUAUUCGCAGUACAACAAACAUAUCCCUGCGUAAUUAUAUUAGCAUAACUAGCAGGUGAACCAACCCCUUAAGAGUUGUUGGGAUUUCAUUGAAAUUCCAUGUUUCAAUAAAAAAUGGAAGAUAUGAUUUCGGGUGCUGUAGUCCAGGUUUGGUUCUUACCAUCCCCAUAAGCCUGAAAGAACCCAGUUUUACUUCCAUUUUUGUGAGUCUCAAUCCACACCAUGCUCCAUACCCAAUUUCAAAAUAAAAUACUUAAUUUCAGAAUUAUCAAAGUUUGUAAUAUUAGUAUUUUUUAUUGAUGCCUAAUUUACUCUGUAAUGACCUAACCAAUUACUCUAAUCUUUACCUGGUUCAAACAAGUCAAAAUACAUUAAUAGUAUUUAUUUUUAAAUGGAACAAAUAAUACUCUUAAACAAAAGGCCACCGGUAUUUUGUUAGGCACCAUCCCUAAUCCCAUGGCAUGAGAAGUAUUCCUACUACAACCUGCAAUCAAACACCCCUCUUAAUUCCAGUAAAAUGAAGGCUAGAGAUGUCUCUGUUUAGAUCCUCCACUUGCAAAUAAUUGCUAACAGUAAAGCCUGAACCUAAACAACCAAGAAGCUGCAAUCUCAAUUAGACUAAAUCACAAACUUGCAAGAAUCAGAACCAAAUAAAAGUGCCAAUUUAGCAAACAUAUCCAUUUUCCUCCAAGUUUGGGCUUGAGGUAAGGUUGAUUGAUAACAAUUCUCCUCGAAAAUCUAGGCUGCAUAUAAAAGAUAUGGGGUCUCUCGAGAGAAACUCCAACUUCUCUCUAGAAUCUGGGAAAAGAGAAAAUAUAACAUUCACAGGUGCUCUGGCUUGGCCGGCUCUUGAAAUUGAAGCCAACAGUAGGAAAUUGGAUGCAUGCAAAGAACCACGUUUCGACUUUCACACAAACACAUACAAAGAAGGAAGAAAUUCUUGAGUACUUGUCUGGUUGGGAGCUUUUGUAAAGUGUGUCGGCUCUCCAGAAGCAGUCAGAAAUCGGGCGGCAGUAGGUUGGGGUUUAAACACUGGGUUGAAGGUGUCUCCUUUAGGUGAUACCAGAUUUCUUUUCAGACUUCAAAAGUGAACAACAAGCUACUCGGGGUCUGAAUAAAGGUCGGGGGGGGGGUAAUAACAUAAGUUUUUUUUUUUUUUUAAUGUUGUGCAUAGUUUGGCAAAAAUGAGGACACUCUUGCAAAAGCACCAAUUACCACAAGAUAGGAUUGACGAAAUCUCCCCUGAAAACCAUGAGUAGAACAAUAAAUGAUAAUCACCCCUAAACCACCAAGGCAUAUCACAUCUGUUAACCAUCAAAAUUCACAGGAUACCCAAAUAGAAGAUGCUUUCUUGUGGAAGGAUAAUGUAAUUGUCAGCAAAUGUGUGCCACUAGCAACAAAUUAAUGCUAAACCAAUCAAAAACUGUUAUCUUCUUGUAUGUGGAUGAAACUAUAGAGGUAGGUAAAGUAUUUUGAUAAGAACAAUCUUUAUGCAGCAUCUUCUUUGUGAAUCCUGGAAGAAAAGUAUUUGAAAGAAUAGAACCCACAUUCUUGAAGGCUCCAAUAGGGGUUUCAAGAACAAGAACAAGGUGGUUUUGGUGAUCCCGCUUCAACCAGCGAAAAGUGGCAAAUCUCAUACUUAUUAUAAACCAUGCUCUCUCUCUAACCGACAUGCAGAGAAAACAUAUCCAAGUAUACUAAUGUGUUCAGAAUAAGUGGAUCUGGGAGCCAACAGAACAAGAGGCACAAUCAUUCUCUGAAACAUUUGUAUGUGUGAUUAUAGGAGCUUAGUCACUCAAAACUGUCUUUUAAACCCUAUGCUGAGACCACCUUUUCUUGAUGCCAUUUCUACUCACCCUACUCUAAUUUAACUGCUACAACGUAUUACACAUUAAGAAACCUGCGCAAAUAACACUACACCAUAAAAAGAAAGAGGGGAAACACUAGAUAAAAAGCGUUGAGGCAUCGGUUUGAUUUGAGCUUCUAAGACCAGAAUUCUUUCUAGACUAGACUGCACCACAGUAACUUAAUUGGACUUGAAAUGCUUUCUCUUAAUUUCAAUGUUCAUAAAGUUACAUGAUUUAAUUCCAUUGGUUCGCCCAGAAUGUUCUAAGUAUUAAUAGUGCUACCAGAUCCAUACUUCACAAUAGGUUGAAAUGGAGCCUGUAAUUUUUGACAUUCCAUCAACUAUGCAAUAAAAUUGAGAACAGUUAAGUACUUUGCAAUUUCUGUCACAUCCAGCAGUUUUAAGAACAAGACCAGCCAAUACUAUGAAUGAUUUGAAUGCCAAAUAACAUCAGUUUCAAGGCAGUGCCAAAUGGAGGAGCUGUUUCAAUAAAUGUACGAAAUAAAAUGCUGAAAUGCCGACAACACAGCUAAUAAAAUCAAAGCAUUUCUGAUGGCCAGGUAGGCCUUUUCAGAUUCUUCAAAGAUUAUGAUUGUAAGAACUAACCAUCUGAACAGCUUAUUUUAAUACUUACUAUGUGGUAACUGCAGCUUCUGAGAAUCAGAUUACGCGAAUAAUCAGAUAAUACACUAACCAUUGUUCAAUUCUAAAAGUCAGUACGGUGGUAGCUGCAGCUUCAGAGAAUUGAUUACAGAGACUUAUCAUCACCGUAAUCUGAUAUGUAACGAAAUUUAAUUACACAUGCUUCCAUUUUUGUCCCGAAAUUUUGUUAUGAUAAUUAUUAGGCUAUAUUUUCUAAAUCAACUUCAGAUGAGGUUCCAAAUUAUAAAAUUAAACUAUCGACCAAAUAGAGAAGCGACUCUUUGCCAGCUAUGUUGGCCGGGGAUGAAAAAAUAGCCACGAAGACGGGAUACUGCAAUUUGUAGCCCAUGGGAAGAACAUGUGAAGACAUUAUUUCAAUAAAAAAACAAAUGGUAGACUGUUACUCAUUGACUAUAUCAGAUAUGCCAUUUUUAUUGUUUACAGCUCGGUUGCGGAAAACAAUGAAACAAUGUUGUUUACAGCACAAGUGAUGGUUUUCUUCAACGGAUUCCAAAGUCAAAUCUUUUAGCUCUAAAGAACCCCAUCCGAUAACAAUUUACCCAAGGAGAUUGACGCAGACUAAGAGGCCAAAAAAUUAACUCUAUAAACAGGAGGAAAAAGAUAAAAAGAAACUCCCUUCAUCCUUAUGUUUGAGUGAACUAUAUGGAGUCUCGUAGAUGUUUAAAAUAAUAGUUUGAAUUCUGUAAAAUUCAAAAAGUUGGUUACCAGAUGUCGCAUCAAAGUUGAACUAAUAAAUAUUUCUAGGUUGCACUAACUUCAGUCAUUACUCAUUAGAGGGAAAAUAAUUGCAAUUUAUGCAAUUGGGACAACUUUUUAGGGUAGAAUGAACUAAAAAGUAGACAGCCUAGGAUGGGACUGAGGGGUAAGAAAUGCAUUAAGCAGCAUGACAACAUCUCAAUAAUGGUGCAUGUUAAGAUUUUAGCUCAGCUAUUUUUUAAUUUUUUUUGGGGGUUUUUGGGGGGGGGGGGCAAUUUAUAGGACUCUUGAUACAGAUUACUGUGAAACAGUUUAAUAUCAGAAAACAAAAAAGAGAGAGAUUACUAACUUGUUACUUUUUAAGUCAGAGAGAAUUAAUGAAAUUAUUAUAUUUAUAGAUAAUAAAUAACACGAGGCAAAAUCAAAACAUUUUCACCAAGAUGAUGGAUAUUCCAAGGUAGAGAUCGGAGAAGAUGAAUGAAGGUUUGUACCUACUCCUAAUUUGCACUAUGAAUCCAAUCCUAUCCACAUAGAUGUUCUUAGCCAUGCGAUGAGGGGAUGCUUUGAAAGGUUAUGUUAAAGCCCGUCGACUUUUCUUUGUUUGCAUCAAGAGACACCCGAAGGGUCUGGCCAUAUGGUACCUUGGGAGCCCCAACCCUAAUGUUCACGUGGAUGUCCAAUUAGAAAUUUUGAAUAGAUAGGUAUCAUAAGUCUUCAACUNN